AGCAGUCUGCGCUAAAAUGGACGCCCAGGUCACAUAUGGACUCGGAUUUGGGUGAUCUUUACAUGGAUGGAAAGCUAAGAAGAUAACCUUUCAAAUGGCGCUGGUCCCAGGCCCAAAUUCAUCAGGAGUCAACGGGAAAAUAUUCCACAAGUUGAUGUCCAGAAUCUUUCUCAGUGUUGCGCCACUGUCUUUGGUCCUUUGGGCCGUGUAUCUUGUCUUGGCCCACUAGGGUUGCGACCAGGGGGUCUUGGCCGCCCCAAACUCCUCUUAUCCAGCCACAACUCCCCUCCUCUAGGGUUGGGUUUUGCUUAGUUCAUUUCUGUCAAGAACAGGACGCCGUUCUUCGGUUGUGGAACCCCACUCGUGAGUUGAAUCAAUUGCUUUCUGUGAUUUGGUUGCUUCUCCGUGCACUUGCUUGUGUUCUUCGAUUCACAGGCAAGAGUAAGCCUUCUUGGCGAGGUCAAUCGAGCAGCAGCUAGGUUGAUAACCAGAGGAUUCGUGGUGCUAAGAUUGCAGGGUUCAUUUCUUUGGAUUUGAAGCCGGAUCGGUGUGUCUCGAAUCCGCCCAAAUCGAUAGUUAUCUGAACCUUUCGGAAGAUCGGGAAUCCAAGUCUUAUCAUGUGGUAAUCAGAGCAAAGGUAUACCGUCAGGUUCGCAUCGAAUCCCUCUAGUUCGAGUAUUUUUUUUUCAACCUACAGUCCACAGCCAUAUUGUUUUUCCCCUUCCUAGAACCUUCCGCGCCAUAGCCUCUGCAUUUGUUAGUUUCAGAGUUCGUAGUGUUGAAUUUGUGUCCUUGUCAAAGUCUUGUUGCUGGUUGGGGUCGUGUUAGAGUCCAGUUUAUGUGUUUUCCCCUCCUUUUGCAUCAAACCCUAGCUGCCACCACAAUUUUUUGUGCACGUUAUUUCCUUUCUAUCCUCCAAUUUGGAGUGUAUCUUAAAGCACGAAUAAAUUUGGUCUUUCACUUGCUGGAGCUCCAGUUUUCUGUGUUACUUCUUGUGUGCUCCUGAAUCAAGGAAAAAAUAUCCAAAAAAAGAAACAAAGAGAAAAAAAUAACAGCCCAAAAAAAUUGAAAAAAAAGAGGGCAAAAGAGGAACAACAUCUGCAGGAGCACAUGGAGAAGAGCAUAGUGAGCUGUGUUGGUGUGUGAUGUCUUGUGCUUUGUUUGUGGCCCUUUUUGAUCAACAUAUUUGUUCUCUACCUUGUUAUCACAACUCUGGUACUUGGAACACUUUAGACCAGCAACAAGAACAAUAACUUGGGACUAUAAUUCAGCAUUGCUAUCGGUUACUAAUUUUUGUGCCACAUAUAUAUUUAUCUCUAUGCCUUCCCAAGCUCCACAUAUUCCUUCAGAUCAGUACAGAAAGAGGACCCUUGCAAUCUUGGUGUCACCUCCUCACAAGCAUCACGAACCAGCCGCCGAUUGCACCAACUCUUGUUUUGUGAUUGGUAAGAACUUUUGCAAGUGCUUGUGGAGGAGCUGCCAUUUUGCAUGAUUGAGAGGCACCACUACAGCUUGUAGUCUUUUAUUAGGGAUAACCUUCACUGCUUGCUGCCGUGUUGGUGUUUGUAAUGGCAGGGGAUGAACAGGCAAACUCUCCCAAAGAUUUCAAUGAGUGUGUUAGUAGAGCUCAACUUCAAGCUGCCAUGGAGGGAUGAAUGAUGCAAUCAAGAAGGCUGUCACCGAUGCACUAAUUGAUCUCAAGCUUGGUAGCAGCAUAGAGAGGUUGGAUAGGCGGAUAUCUACUUUAACCGAUAAGGUUACAGAGUUAGAAAACCAUCUACCAAAUGAGGAAGAUACGGGAGGAAACAACUCGAAUGAAGAUGCUGUUUUUGAUGAGGAUGGAAACAUAGAUGCUGCAGCCACCCGAACAGCGAUGCUACGACAUCGUCUACGUGAGAACAGGAGAGGUAUGGGUGGUCAUCGACAUCAAGGUCACGCCCAACAUGCUCCCGAUGAUCCUUAUGCUAAGGUAAAGUUCACAAUUCCAUCUUUUUCGGGCCAUUAUGAUGCUGAGGGGUAUCUUGAUUGGAAGAUGACAGUAGAGCAGAAAUUUAGUGCCCACCUUGUUCCUGAAAGACAUAGAGUUCGACAAGCCUCUAGUGAGUUUAAGGAUUUUGCAAUCAUUUGGUAGAGUGGGUUAGCUGUAGAAAAUGCUUUACCGACCAUAUGGGAACAACUUAAGGUAGCUAUGCGUGAUCGUUUUGUUCCCCCUUCCUACCAUAGAGACUUGCGUAAGAAAUUGAUGCGCUUAGAGCAAGGAGAGAAAUCUGUCCAAGAUUACUAUGGGGAGCUCCAAAAGGGCGUGAUGCGUUGUGGUGUUGUGGAGGGGCCUGAGGAUUCUAUUUAUCAUUUUUAUUCGGGUCUAAGGCGUGAGAUUCAGGACAUUGUUGAUUAUAAGGAAUUUAACACUAUCAACCGGUUGUUUCAGUUUGCUAUACUUGCAGAGAAGGAAUUGCAAGGAUGUGAGCAGCAAGGCAGGGGCAAGUCCACCACCUCCUACACGCCACGAACAAUGACAUCAACGGGGCUGAACAAGUCUGCAACUUUCCGGAUGCCACCACCACCAGCUAGCAAGCGACCAGCAGCUUCGGGAGUUGCUGCAGUGCCCACACGGUCCUCCGAUUUAGGUAAAAAUUCUGCGCAGGUACCCGCAAAGAGUUCAUCAUCCAUGGCAUCAACGGGGCGCACCUCUGGCAUCCAAUGCCACCAUUGCCAUGGGCUUGGCCAUGUGCAGAAGGACUGCCCAAGUCAGCAAGCAUACAUUGCUACAGAGGAUGGCUACAUCAGCACCUCUGACAUUGAAGAUGAAGAAGAGAAAGAAAAUGAUGAUGGUGAAGAAGAGAUCCUUGGCGGAGAGGAUACAACGACCUAUAGGAGCGCCAUUGUUCAGCGGGUGCUCAACACACAAGUGCAACAGCCCGACCAGCUGCAACGCCACAAUCUAUUUCAGAUUUUCUUCAUCAUCAACAACCGACGUGUGCGAGUCAUUAUUGAUGGAGGUAGUUGCAAUAAUUUGGUAAGUUCUGAGUUGAUCAAGAAGCUUGGCUUGACCACACGGCCACACCGACAUCCAUACCAUAUUCAGUGGCUAAAUGAUUUGGGAAAGGCUAAGGUAACACAAACUUGCAGAGUUUCUUUUUCCAUUGGGUCAUAUUCAGAUUCGGUUGAUUGUGAUGUGGUACCUAUGCAAGCUUGUUCACUUUUGUUGGGUAGGCCUUGGGAACAUGAUAAUGAUGCCACACACCAUGGUAGAAGUAACAAAUACACCUUUGUGCAUAAAGGAAAGAAAUAUACUUUGCUACCUUUGACCCCUGCUGAAAUUGUACAAGCUGAGAAAGAGCGAGCUGCUAGUUUGAAUGACACAAAAUCUGAAAAUCAACAAGUAGCAAAAUCUACUUUUCCACAUAAAAGGGAUAAACCUGCACCUAAUUCUAAGAAUGAGGGCAUUAAAUUGAAGGGUGGAGUUAUGCUUGCAACAAAAUGUGACUUUGCUGAAAUUUUUGUAGAUGAUGUUUGCUAUGUCUUGCUUUACAAACAAGCUUUGUUUUCACUUGAUGAUAUCUCUAGCUCGAUACCUCCUGCUGUCACUAACCUUUUGCAGGAGUACGAGGAUGUUUUUCCAGCUGAGGUACCACCGGGGCUGCCACCUGUGAGAGGAAUAGAACAUCAAAUCGACUUGAUUCCGGGGGCAACUUUGCCCAACCGAGCAGCCUACCGAACCAACCCCGAGGAGACUAAGGAAAUUCAGUGACAAGUCCAAGAACUUUUGAACCGUGGGUAUGUACGUGAGAGCCUUAGUCCUUGUGCUAUUCCUAUGAUUUUAGUUCCGAAGAAAGAUGGUACUUGGCGUAUGUGUGUUGAUUGUAGUGCUAUCAAUAAUAUUACAAUUCGGUACCGUUAUCCUAUUCCUAGGCUUGAUGACAUGCUUGAUGAGUUGUGCGGUUCUAUAAUUUUCACAAAGAUUAAUUUGCGAAGUGGCUACCACCAGAUUAGAAUGAAACUUGGAGAUGAAUGGAAAACAGCUUUUAAAACCAAAUUUGGGUUGUAUGAGUGGUUAGUAAUGCCUUUCGGUUUGACUAAUGCACCUAGCACUUUCAUGCGCUUAAUGAAUGAGGUUUUGAGGGCUUUCAUUGGAUGAUUUGUGGUAGUUUACUUUGAUGAUAUCUUGAUUUAUAGCAAGUCUUUGGAUGAACACAUGGAUCACCUACGUGCUGUUUUUAACGCUUUACGUGAUGCUUGUUUGUUUGGUAACCUUGAGAAGUGCAUCUUUUGCACGGAUCGAGUCUCUUUCCUUGGCUAUGUUGUUACUCCACAGGGAAUUGAGGUGGAUGAGUUAAAAAUUGAAGCAAUCAAGAGCUGGCCGGUUCCCCAAACCAUCACGCAGGUGAGGAGUUUUCUUGGUCUUGCAGGAUUCUACCGUCGUUUCAUCAAAGAUUCCAGCACCAUUGCAGCCCCCUUGCAUGAGUUGACAAAGAAAGGGGUGGUGUUACAUUGGGGAAAGGCACAUGAUGAGUCCUUCAAUCCUUUGAAGGGCAAGCUUACACACGCACCAUUGCUGCAACUUCCGAACUUUGGUAAGACUUUUGAGCUUGAAUGUGAUGCUAGCGGAGUUGGCAUUGGGGCUGUUUUAAUGCAAGAUGGUAAACCCGUUGUAUACUUUAGUGAAAAACUGCAUGGUCCUAUUUUAAAUUACUCCACGUAUGAUAAGAAAUUGUAUGCUCUUGUACGUUUUUUAGAAACGUGGCGUCAUUAUUUGUGGCCUAAGGAGUUUGUUAUCCAUUCCGAUCAUGAAUCGCUUAAGUAUCUUCGCUCUCAAAAUAAUCUGAACCGUCGACAUGCAAAGUGGGUAGAGCUGAUUGAAUCUUUCCCUUAUGUUAUCAAACACAAGAAAGGGAAGGAUAAUGUGAUUGCGGAUGCUUUAUCUAGGCGAUAUACCCUGUUGUCCCAACUUGAUUGUCGUCUUUUUGGACUUGAAUCGAUAAAAGAACAAUAUGCACUUGAUCCUGAUUUUAAAGAUGUGUUGCUGAAUUGUAGAGAGGGACGUACAUGGAACAAGUUUGUGAUCAAUGAUGGGCUAUUGUUUAGAGCUAACCGCCUAUGCAUUCCAGUUGGUUCCGUUCGUCACUUAUUGUUACAGGAAGUGCAUGGAGGAGGGCUGAUGGGACAUUUUGGUGCUAAGAAGACGGAGGAUGUUUUAGCCUCACAUUUCUUUUGGCCAAAGAUGAGAAGAGAUAUUGAGUGAUUCGUGGCGCGUUGCACCACAUGUCAAAAAGCUAAGUCACGCUUGAAUCCGCAUGGUUUAUACAUGCCUCUUCCCGUUCCUUCUAUUCCUUGGACAGAAAUUUCAAUGGACUUUGUUUUGGGAUUGCCUCGAACUAAGAGGGGGAGGGAUAGCAUCUUUGUGGUGGUGGAUCAUUUUUCUAAGAUGGCACACUUCAUACCAUGUCAUAAGAGUGAUGAUGCUGUUCAUAUUGCUGACCUCUUUUUCAAAGAGAUUGUUCAUUUGCAUGGUAUGCCUUCAACUAUUGUUUCAGAUCGCGAUGCUAAAUUCUUGAGUCACUUUUGGCGCACUCUGUGGAACAAGUUGGGGACAAAGCUGCUGUUCUCUACAACAUGUCACCCACAAACCGAUGGACAAACAGAGGUGGUGAACCGCACCUUGGGCACCAUGUUGAGGGCUGUUUUGAAGAAAAAUUUGAAGGUGUGGGAAGAAUGUUUGCCUCUAGUGGAGUUUGCAUACAAUCGGGCAACACAUUCUACCACCAAGGUAAGUCCUUUUCAGGUAGUGUAUGGUUUCAACCCCCUUACUCCAAUUGAUAUAUUGCCUUUACCUGCUAGUGAGAGGAUUCAUAGUGAUGCCAAGAAACGUGAUGAAUUUAUUUUGCAAAUGCAUGAGACAACUAAGCACAACAUUGAGAAGAUGAACGAAAAGUAUAGAAUUACUAGUAGUAAAGGUAAACAAGAAAUUAAACUUCAACCAGGAGAUUUAGUUUGGUUACACCUUAAAAAGGAUAGAUUUCCAGAAUUGAGAAAGUCUAAGUUGAUGCCCAGGGCAGAUGGUCCUUUCAAAAUAAUUGAGAAAAUAAAUGAUAAUGCAUAUAAGCUUGAGUUGCCUCCCGAAUUUGGGGUUAGUCCCACCUUUAAUAUUUCAGAUUUAAAGCCAUACUUGGGAGAAGAAGAUGAGCUUGAGUCGAGGAUGACUCCAAUUCAAGAGGGAGAGGAUGAUGAGAACAUCACUCCUUGGAUACAAACAACAAUCCUCCACGGAAUGUUCAAGGUCCAAUCACUAGAGCUCGAGCACGACAAUUGAAUCUAGAGGUGAGCUCGUUCCUAAACUCCUCUUCAAAUGAUUAUGAGAAUAGAUUGCUACCGAAUGAUUAUAUUGUGAUUAGGAACCAUGGAGAAGGCCAAAGAAUACUUGGAGAAGGGCUUGGAGGCGUGGAGGACCAGCAAGGACAUACAAGUCAAGAGGGAGGCCCAAACCAACUGACCUCGGGUCUGUUUUUCGGCUCCAGGAGCAGUCUGCGCUAAAAUGGACGCCCAGGUCACAUAUGGACUCAGAUUUGGGUGAUCUUUAGAUGGAUGGAAAGCUAAGAAGAUAACCUUUCAAAUGGCGCUGGUCCCAGGCCCAAAUUCAUCAGGAGUUGACGGGAAAAUAUUCCACAAGUUGGUGUCCAGAAUCUGUCUCAGUGUUGCGCCACUGUCUUUGGUCCUUUGGGCCGUGUAUCUUGUCUUGGCCCACUAGGGUUGCGAC
RNAcentral lists this long non-coding RNA (6754 nucleotides) under Panicum hallii. RNAcentral's name for it is "long non-coding RNA (PHAL_LNC000686)". Lineage: Eukaryota; Viridiplantae; Streptophyta; Magnoliopsida; Poales; Poaceae. The record is from RNAcentral.